Molecule: ribosomal RNA, 127 nt
Filed under: Castilla elastica
Lineage: Eukaryota; Viridiplantae; Streptophyta; Magnoliopsida; Rosales; Moraceae
Description: partial 18S ribosomal RNA
Rfam family: Eukaryotic small subunit ribosomal RNA (bases 1-95)
Source: RNAcentral
CCGUGACGUCGCGAGAAGUCCACUGAACCUUAUCAUUUAGAGGAAGGAGAAGUCGUAACAAGGUUUCCGUAGGUGAACCUGCGGAAGGAUCAUUGUUGAAACCUACAAAGCAGAAUGACCCGUGAAC